UCCCUGGUGGUCCAGUGGUUAAGACUCCUACUUCCAAUGUAGGAGACGUGGGUUCAACCUCUGUUCAGGGAA
Molecule: non-coding RNA, 72 nt
Organism: Bos taurus (domestic cattle)
Lineage: Eukaryota; Metazoa; Chordata; Mammalia; Artiodactyla; Bovidae
Source: Rfam